GUUCGCUGAGUCUCCAAAAGACGAGAUGCAGAUACUCAGCGCUUGUGUGUGUGCCGUGGCAACGGAAAGCUUCACUCUCUUUUGGAUUCAAAUUAUUCCUCCUCCAGGUUCCCACCUAUCCUUACAGGGACACAACUCCAUACCCUCUCACGACAAAUGAUCUCCCUCCUCCACUGCCUAGCGUUUUUGGUUUUGUUUUCAAAUGGGAAGAGAGCAAGCCAUCUCAGGCAGCUGCUACCACAGAUUUUCCCUAUGUAAACUACCCCACAAAAUGUUCAUCUAAAUGUCUUCAGGGACUACCAUAUGGAAACUGACUUCAAAAACAACAUCCAAAGACAAGCUCUUAUUUUCUUCUCAAUUUAUUAUGUCUAUAAAACAAGAAUUUGGA
Molecule: long non-coding RNA, 388 nt
Organism: Panthera uncia (snow leopard)
Lineage: Eukaryota; Metazoa; Chordata; Mammalia; Carnivora; Felidae
Exons: 2
Source: RefSeq, a predicted model, not a curated record